AAUCCAUAGGUUAAUGAGGCGAACCGGGGGAACUGAAACAUCUAAGUACCCCGAGGAAAAGAAAUCAACCGAGAUUCCCCCAGUAGCGGCGAGCGAACGGGGAGGAGCCCAGAGCCUGAAUCAGCAUGUGUGUUAGUGGAAGCGUCUGGAAAGGCGCGCGAUACAGGGUGACAGCCCCGUACACAAAAGCGCAUGUGCUGUGAGCUCGAUGAGUAGGGCGGGACACGUGGUAUCCUGUCUGAAUAUGGGGGGACCAUCCUCCAAGGCUAAAUACUCCUGACUGACCGAUAGUGAACCAGUACCGUGAGGGAAAGGCGAAAAGAACCCCGGCGAGGGGAGUGAAAAAGAACCUGAAACCGUGUACGUACAAGCAGUGGGAGCCCCACCACCAAAGCAUUUGCUGUACCGCGUUGACGGAG
This 419-nucleotide ribosomal RNA is filed under the name Salmonella enterica. RNAcentral's name for it is "partial 23S ribosomal RNA". It matches the Rfam family "Bacterial large subunit ribosomal RNA", at positions 161 to 593 of the family's 2925-position model. The record is from RNAcentral. RNAcentral also lists the same sequence under 1 other name. Lineage: Bacteria; Pseudomonadati; Pseudomonadota; Gammaproteobacteria; Enterobacterales; Enterobacteriaceae.